This 60-nucleotide transfer RNA is filed under the name Pseudoniphargus sp. 2-Portugal. Its description in RNAcentral is "tRNA-Asp". The record is from RNAcentral. Lineage: Eukaryota; Metazoa; Arthropoda; Malacostraca; Amphipoda; Allocrangonyctidae.
AGAGAAUUAGUUAAAAAAUAAUAUUAAUUUGUCAAAUUAAAGUUACCUGAGUAUUUUCUA